CCCAGAUUUUUUGACUUGUCUGGAUGCCCUUCCAAACCCCAGGCUUCCCCGGGGAGACCUGCGGUGCAAGAUCGGAGCGAAGACGCAGCCAGGCGUAAUCCUUGCGACACUGCCUGCGAUGAUCUACAUCCCAUUCCGGGUUCAACGACGGGUCGUUGAGGACAAGUUGGACUCCCACGAGAACCUUUUCGGUGCGAAGGCAAUCGGUAAAAAGAAGUCGUGGGACCCUCAAAUCGCUUGCUUGAAUGCUUGGCAGGAUGGAAAGCUGCGCCCUUUCCAGGGAGAUCAAAGAGACGCCCCAGCCUGGGAAAGAAGCGGCUGGGAAUCCUAAGGACUUGAAGCGCAAGAAUACUCAAGAAGGACUAGCGGCUUGCAAAGUCCUCUAAAGAGAACGGAAUCCAGAGGAACAGCAGAAGCCGCUAGAUUGCCCGGCCCGCUAUAAUUUGUAAUCUCUGAUCUCCUGAGGGCUUUUUUUGGUGGGGGGACCGGUGGGUAUGUGCGUGAGUUUACAAUGCCGAGAUCGACGAAACCUUCCGCCGAUUGGCUUUUCGCUCGGAUUCCCGAACCCACGAGGUGUUGGUGGAGUUUGAAGAGGGAAGGGGUUGCGCUCUCCAAGACCUUCGGAACGCGCGCCGGGGCUGAGAACGCCGAUCCUUUGGGAGGCUGAUGGUGGAUUCCUGGAUCGGGUCCCCCCCCCACGCCCACCCUUUCUGCGCAAGAUAUCAGCUCCCGGGUGGCCGGGCUCCUCCCCCUCCGAAUAACUUUCGCUUUCACACGCCAAUGCAAGCAAACUCCUGGGCCUUUUUACUGUAUUCUUUUUCCCUUUCGCCCGAUGUAACUCACGUGUCGGCGUAGCUGGCAACUCUACUGCAGCAGCACCUCCGCCGGCUAGGAAGAGGGAGGGGUCGGCACCGAACAACGUACCCUCCCGACCCCAAACAGCUACUGCCAUCCAGGGACUCGGCGCGCUUCCUGUACCUGCCCGCCUCGCAUCUCUACAGAACCUCUUCCCCUCUUUUUUAGGGGGAAACCUCAGCAUGCUGGCCACCUACCAAACUACGUGGAGAUGAUUUGGUAUCAUGGAACUCCAGAUUCUUCUGUGGUCUUGCUGCUCGUAUUGCUGUUUUUCUUCCCAUUUGGGCCACUCAAGGGCUGCAAGUUUGAUUAUUCUCCCAUCGCUACUUCUGACUUUUCCCAGGAUAUAAAACCACUGAAAGAAUAUUUGCUCCUGGAUUACAAAGUACCAAUGCCAUUCAGUCUGAAACAGGACAUAUUCUGCAGUGAGUUAUGGAAUCUUCAUUUCAUCAAUGAAAACUUAAAGAAAUUAAUCAACGUGUCUGGGGAAAGACUGAAAAAGUUAAUCAAGAAGAUAUAUAAUCACACAAAAGUUGUUGAAUCUUGUAAUAUUGAAGUAGAUAAUAGUUCUGUCAGCUUUGUGUUGACAAAUAUCUCUCAGUUUGUAGAUGUCAUUCCUUUCCACCUUCAGUCUUUAUCAGCAAAAAUAGAGAAGAUUACAUCAGAAGAAAAGUGUGCUGAUUUUAAGAACUGCACCGUUAUUCAAAGCCAAAUAGGUCAGUCUCUCUCUAUACUACAGAAUCUUCUAAAUUACCUAUCAACACUUCUGAUUGGAAGCUAGAGAAGAAACAGUCAUCUCAGCCAGUCUCCCACAAAAGAACUUAUUGGUGGUUACUUCUUCCAGCUAUCUUGGUCUGUCUUAUCUUCAGUUUAUCGAAAAAAUGCCAGUGGUCCUCUUCAAGUGCAAUUUAAAAGUACCACCUCCCCACAGCAUGGGAUCUAACCUCAACAUCACUCAACAUCUUAGAGCCUGCUCUAUCCCAUUCCUAGCCUUUAUCUUGAAGGACUAACCUGGCACCAUCUGUCAGAGGGGCCGCUGCCAAAAAGGACCUCAGUUCUGACUCCCACCCCUUGGUAGAUGCUUGCAUCUUUCUUUUUUGUAAUGUAUAGAUGGUCCUCAAUUUACGACUGCAGUUGGGACCAGAAUUUCUGUUACUAAGGAAGAUGGAUGUUAAGUGAAUUGUGCCUGAUUUUCCUUUUUUUUUUUUUUGCCCUGGUUGUUAAGCAAAUUACUGCAGUUCUUAAGUGAGUCAUGCAGUUGUUAAUCAAAUCCAGCUUCCCCCAUUAACUUGCACAUCAAAAGCCAGCUGGAAAGAUUACCAAUGGUGACUACAUUCUGCACCCAUCUUAAAUACAUAUUUGUUGCCAAGCACCUAAAUCUUGAUCUCAUGACCAUGGGGAUGCUGCGAUGGACUUAAGUGCAAGAAUUGGUUGUAAGACUUUCAGUGCUGUUGUAACUUUGAACGGUUGUUAAACGAAUAGUUUUAAUUUGUGCUUAUGCAUAUGUGCUGUAUGUGCUUAUGUAAAAAGGAGAGACAGAGAGAUGGUUAAUACAUAAGUUUUUUUAUUUUGUAUAAAUAAAAGCAAAUAUUUAGUAACCA
RNA transcript from Crotalus tigris (Tiger rattlesnake), 2456 nucleotides. It is a transcript of the gene named fms related receptor tyrosine kinase 3 ligand, with no coding region annotated. The transcript is spliced from 8 exons. NCBI's taxonomy places the organism in Eukaryota, Metazoa, Chordata, Lepidosauria, Squamata, Viperidae. The record is from RefSeq and is a predicted model, not a curated record.